UACGUAGGUGGCAAGCGUUAUCCGGAUUUACUGGGCGUAAAGGGAGCGUAGGCGGAUAUUUAAGUGGGAUGUGAAAUACCCGGGCUUAACCUGGGGGCUGCAUUCCAAACUGGAUGUCUAGAGUACAGGAGGGGAAAGCAGAAUUCCUAGUGUAGCGGUGAAAUGCGUAGAGAUUAGGAAGAAUACCAGUGGCGAAGGCGGCUUUCUGGACUGUAACUGACACUGAGGCUCGAAAGCGUGGGGAGCAAACAGG
This 253-nucleotide ribosomal RNA is filed under the name uncultured bacterium. Its description in RNAcentral is "partial 16S ribosomal RNA". It matches the Rfam family "Bacterial small subunit ribosomal RNA", at positions 524 to 776 of the family's 1533-position model. The record is from RNAcentral.